RNAcentral lists this ribosomal RNA (719 nucleotides) under uncultured Peptostreptococcus sp. RNAcentral describes it as "bacterial SSU rRNA". It matches the Rfam family "Bacterial small subunit ribosomal RNA", at positions 798 to 1533 of the family's 1533-position model. Lineage: Bacteria; Bacillati; Bacillota; Clostridia; Peptostreptococcales; Peptostreptococcaceae. The record is from RNAcentral.
CGCUGUAAACGAUGAGUACUAGGUGUCGGGGGUUACCCCCCUCGGUGGCGCAGCUAACGCAUUAAGUACUCCGCCUGGGGAGUACGCACGCAAGUGUGAAACUCAAAGGAAUUGACGGGGACCCGCACAAGUAGCGGAGCAUGUGGUUUAAUUCGAAGCAACGCGAAGAACCUUACCUAAGCUUGACAUCCCUCGGACAGGUGUCUAAUCACACCCUUCCUUCGGGACUGAGGUGACAGGUGGUGCAUGGUUGUCGUCAGCUCGUGUCGUGAGAUGUUGGGUUAAGUCCCGCAACGAGCGCAACCCUUGUCUUUAGUUGCCAGCAUUCAGUUGGGCACUCUAGAGAGACUGCCAGGGAUAACCUGGAGGAAGGUGGGGAUGACGUCAAAUCAUCAUGCCCCUUAUGCUUAGGGCUACACACGCGCUACAAUGGGUGGUACAGAGGGUUGCCAAACCGUGAGGUGGAGCCAAUCCCUUAAAGCCAUUCUCAGUUCGGAUUGUAGGCUGAAACUCGCCUACAUGAAGCUGGAGUUACUAGUAAUCGCAGAUCAGAAUGCUGCGGUGAAUGCGUUCCCGGGUCUUGUACACACCGCCCGUCACACCACGGGAGUCGGAAACACCCGAAGCCGAUUAUCCAACCGCAAGGAGGAAGUCGUCGAAGGUGGCGUCGAUAACUGGGGUGAAGUCGUAACAAGGUAGCCAAUCGAAUUCCCGCGGCC